AUAUUGUUUAAGCUUGUAAUGGCAAUUCUGAGAAAUGAAUCAUCAGAGGCCUUGAGGAGACGCCAAUAUGCCUUGCUGCUUAGCUAUUUUCAGUAUUGUCAGCAUACACUUGAUCCAGAUGUUCCAACAACAGUUAUGCAGUUCUUAUUGCUUACUGAGCAAGAUAGUGAAGAUCUGGACCUCCGUAAGAUUAACAGAGAACAGGCUGAACUAGCUCAUGCAAUUUUUUCCAUAUUGAGAAAAGAAGCUCAGGCAAUCUUAGAUUUGGUAAUAAAGGAUGCAACUCAAGGUAGUGAACCUGGGAAGACAAUAGCACUCUAUGUUCUGGAUUCACUGAUUUGUAUUGAUCACGAGAGAUAUUUCUUUAGCCAACUUCAAAGUAGGGGAUUUUUGCGGUCUUGCCUGAUGAGCAUCAGCAAUGUUUCCUAUCAGGAUUUUAGGCAUUCCCUAGACUCUUUGCAACGAGCAUGCACUGUUGAGGCUGAACUGGCAUUACUGCUUAGAAUUAGCCAUAAGUAUGGAAAAUCUGGGGCACAAGUUUUAUUUUCAAUGGGUGUUUUGGAGCAUAUUGCCUCAUGCAGGGCAGUUAAUUUGCAGGGAAGUUUGAGACGGCUUGAUCCAAAGCUUCAACGAGAUGCGGCUGUGGAUAUUGACAAACAACGGAUGAUCACAACUCCAAUACUGAGAUUGGUGUUUUCAUUGACUUCAUUGGUUGAUACAUCUGAUAUUUUUGAGGUGAAGAACAAAAUUGUUCGUGAAGUUAUAGAUUUUGUCAAAGG
This 779-nucleotide unclassified non-coding RNA is filed under the name Hevea brasiliensis (rubber tree). Lineage: Eukaryota; Viridiplantae; Streptophyta; Magnoliopsida; Malpighiales; Euphorbiaceae. The record is from RNAcentral.